UACGUAGGGUGCGAGCGUUGUCCGGAUUUAUUGGGCGUAAAGAGCGCGUAGGCGGCUCGGUAAGCCGGAUGUGAAACCUCCAAGCUCAACUUGGAGCGGCCAUUCGGAACUGCUGUGGCUAGAGUCCGGAAGAGGAGAGUGGAAUUCCUGGUGUAGCAGUGAAAUGCGUAGAUAUGCGGAGGAACACCGAUGGCGAAGGCAAUCCCCUGGACCUGUACUGACGCUCAUGCACGAAAGCGUGGGGAGCAAACAGG
RNAcentral lists this ribosomal RNA (254 nucleotides) under uncultured bacterium. RNAcentral's name for it is "partial 16S ribosomal RNA". It matches the Rfam family "Bacterial small subunit ribosomal RNA", at positions 524 to 776 of the family's 1533-position model. The record is from RNAcentral.